CCCUAACAAAAUUCCUUUCUUUUUUCAGAUUAAAUCCUGCUUAUAUAUUCAGUACUUGGCUAUCAUCUUUAAUAUAUUUCUCAUCCAUUCCCUGGGAAACAAGUCUACUCCUAUUACCAAUGAAGCAAUUGAGACAUAAAAGAAGAGUUAAGAAACCCAAUCAAUCUCAAAGACAACAAUACAUACUAGAACCUCUUUCUUUAUAGUUAAGAUUACAUCUGUGAUUGCAUUCCUGAGAGUUCCAGCUUUUUUGAUAUACUAUAUACAACUCCGGUCCUGUUGUCAUCCUACAAGCCCUUCAUUAAGGAAAUAAAUGCCUGAGUGACAAUGAUAAAAUGGAAUAAGCAGAAGGAGGAGACAAGUAUGUGGAUUGGAUUGGAGUGCUAAGUAUGCCUUAGGGCAAUGCUGCUCCUGAGAAUGACUCAUCUCUGGAACAAAACAAGAAAAACACUUAUUUCAUCAAGACCCACUAUAGCCCAGGCAGCACUGCGUUGGUUAGCUGGCUGCCCCCGUACAUGCUGUCUGAUGUCCUGUGCAAGACUGUUCCAGCUGGACCUCUGAUUACCAAGCCAGACUAUGCUGUGCAUUAGCUCCAAUAGAUCAUCGAACACAAGAGAAGUAAAAUGGAAGCCAACGAAAUGAAUCUUGAAGAGGCUUCUGAGAACAGAUGCUAUGAACUGGAGUACUUGUCCACCAGUAAGCUGGCUGACACUCCCAGCAGCUAGACUGAAGCCAUGAGCCUCGUGGAAAACUGAUGAGCUCCUUUCUGCUGGGGACCCGCAUCACUCUGUGAACUGCUCCCCGUCAUCGCUUGUUGCUCACGUGAAAGGGAUGAGCUUGAGGCCUGGAGACAAGACUUGAGUCCACCCCAGUCAGUCAGACAGACCUAAGCACUGAGAGCCUAAGCUGAGACACCCAUUACUAUCAAGGCAAUGAGAUGUUCCCAGGAUGGAGAGCGCUGCCUAGCAAGACCUCCCGGCAGUUUUCCCAGGUGGAAGCUGUUCAGGUUGAGUUGAGCA
Molecule: long non-coding RNA, 1019 nt
Filed under: Phascolarctos cinereus (koala)
Lineage: Eukaryota; Metazoa; Chordata; Mammalia; Diprotodontia; Phascolarctidae
Description: lncRNA (ENSPCIG00000014688.2)
Source: RNAcentral